This is a long non-coding RNA of Mustela erminea (ermine), 1220 nucleotides long. RefSeq lists it as uncharacterized. The record is from RefSeq and is a predicted model, not a curated record. The transcript has 3 exons. Lineage: Eukaryota; Metazoa; Chordata; Mammalia; Carnivora; Mustelidae.
UUCAGAGAUUAUUGGGCAUUAGUGGGUCAGGGGAAGUGGGACGGGGACAGAGUAAGAAACAGUCUACAAAGUUCUCUUCAUUAGGGAUGCCAUGUUCUGGCCUUUUAAAAUAAAGCUUAGCUUAAUCACCUCUGAGCUUUCUGGACUGUCUCUUUCCUUCUUUCUCUGUUGUCUUUCCUCACACCUGUCUUCUUCUUCUCUAGGCUGUGGUAUCUUCAGUCCUUCUGCAAUCCAAGGAAGGCAAAUGAGGACUUUUCCCAUCUUGCACAACUGUCUAUAUGAAGAGCUCUGCUUAUGUAAAUGGUAGAUUUUACGGAGGGUAUGUGGGGCCCAUUGUGGAUGAAUGUGAGUGGGGUGAGGAAGAGAAGCCCAAAGGGGCUUCGGCUGGAGCUGCAGCUGCAGUGGGCAGGUGUAGGGUCUGGGUGGGUGGUCUUGGGACACAAGGAGCCUAGAACAUGGUGGGAGCUGGAUUCCCCUGAAGUCUUUCUGGAGGUGAGACUUCUCCAGAGUGGUAACGUAACAUCCUUGCUAUGUUGUAUGAUUUCCUGUGGUUGCCCUAAUCAUUGCCCAAGGGCAAAUAAUGUUUCCUAGUCAGGAGCCUAGCCACAGUUGCCGUGGUGAUGAUGGAGCCACUGAUCCAUGCAACAUAUGAAAUCUCUGGCUAGGAUCAGGCAGUAAACUACAGCGAGCUGCGAGGGUCAGAUGCAGAAAGGUGAGCAUUGGUAGUCAAGAGAAUUAGACACACCAGAGGGGUUGUAACCUUCAUCCCACCCUGGGAACUUUGAAAGACCGAAUCUCAGAUUUAAUUUGUGACAACAUCCACCCCUUAUGUCCCCUGGCUAGAGCCAUUUCUACACAAGAGCAGGAUGUUUCUGCUCUAUCUCUGAACUGUCCUGGUUCUACCCACCGGUUCACCCUGCCAAAGGAAUGGAUUCCCCAUGGUGUCCUUUCAAGGAGGGGAGGACACAGAGACACACAGGGGAGAAAGCCACGUGAGAAGAGAGGCAAAGAUGGGAGUUAUACAGCUCCAAGACCACAAAUGUCUGGAACCACAAGCAGCUGCAAGAGGCAAGGUCUCCACUCUAAAAGCAAACCCUUGGGGGACCUCAGUGGCUCUGUCGGUUAAGCAUCUAUCUUCUGCUCCGGUUGUGAUCAUGAGGUGCUGGGAUGAAGGCUGGCCUCGGGCUCCCUGCUCAGCUGGGAGUCUGCUCUCACUCCCU